GCGUCUGUAGCUCAGUUGGUUAGAGCACGACCUUGGCAUGGUGGGGGUCGAUGGUUCGAGUCCAUUCAGACGCACCA
Molecule: transfer RNA, 77 nt
Filed under: Salmonella enterica subsp. enterica serovar Derby
Lineage: Bacteria; Pseudomonadati; Pseudomonadota; Gammaproteobacteria; Enterobacterales; Enterobacteriaceae
Description: tRNA-Ala
Rfam family: tRNA
About the family: Transfer RNA (tRNA) molecules are approximately 80 nucleotides in length.
Source: RNAcentral